This is a long non-coding RNA of Mauremys reevesii (Reeves's turtle), 336 nucleotides long. RefSeq lists it as uncharacterized. Lineage: Eukaryota; Metazoa; Chordata; Testudines; Geoemydidae. The transcript has 4 exons. The record is from RefSeq and is a predicted model, not a curated record.
CCUGGCUGGGCGCCCAGGAUGGACCCGCCUCUCCUGUAUUCAAGAGUGAUUCAACAAAGGAACAAACGUUCUGGUCUGCUUCAGUAAAGGGUUCACCAGGACGAUUCCGGUUAUAAUAAAUCAAAAAGCGGAAGAACGAAGGCGAUCAUAGCCACAGAUGAAGAGACGCCUGUAUGACAGAGCCAGGAUAGCACAUCUCCUUACUCACAAGCCCGUCAAUAACCUGUUGCUGGAAACUGCUGUCAGCAAAGUGCGUCUCCCACACCCACAGUUCCCACUCACUGAGUGCACAAAUGCCAGUGAAGGUGGGAAAAACAAAUCAAUCAUCUCAAUCAC